CACCAAACUUGUUCCUGGAGGGCCGGUGUCCUGCAGAGUUUAGCUCCAACCCUAAUCAUACUCACCUGAACCAUCUAAUCAAGGUCUUGCUUGGUAUACGUGAAACUUCAAGGCAGGCGUGUUAAGGGAAGUCGGAGCUAAACUCUGCAGGACACCGGCCCUCCAGGACCGAGUGUGGUGACCCCUGGUCUAAAGUGUGAAAAUGACUGUAAAAGACGGUCUGCUCUUUUGACCGAUCAGGAAAUUAGGAAAACAAGCACGGCAUUGGCGUCUAUAGCGAGGAGGGCAUACAUGUUUUCUCGCUUCUCCGUCAAGCGUGUCGUUCUCAGGACAUCUGUAACCAGGAAGUAAGUCUCUGUUGGUGCUCGAUCACUUGUGUGUAGCCUAGGCUACUAUAUGCGCUGUUUAAAACCAGGACUGUCAGUCAGUACUAUCGAGUUAUGACUGACGACGGAGCUCGGUGGACAUGGUCAUGUUGAGGCAUUGCGUGAAUGUGCUGCUGAUGUGAUAUGUGCUUACUUCAGCUCAGGAUGAGUAAAGAAAUGGAGGUGCUUUCUCCCCUUAUCGAUUCGGGACACGGUGAUGGGUCUGAGGAAGAAACAGAGGAGGAUGACGAGCCCAAAAUCUGUCAAGUAUGUGGAGACAAAUCCACAGGAUACCACUUUAAUGCCAAGACCUGUGAGGGCUGCAAAGGCUUC
Sinocyclocheilus grahami is the source of this 698-nucleotide long non-coding RNA. RefSeq lists it as uncharacterized. The record is from RefSeq and is a predicted model, not a curated record. The transcript has 3 exons. NCBI's taxonomy places the organism in Eukaryota, Metazoa, Chordata, Actinopteri, Cypriniformes, Cyprinidae.